CACACGUGUGCUCUUCCGAUCAGAUUUUUCAAUCGCUGUGCACUAACAUUAAAUUAUACAUAUUAGUAAUGCGAGAAUGAGCGUAAUUAAUAAAUCUCACCACGCCAUAUUUCACCGCAUAUCAAAAGCUCCCGAUUAAACCGUGACGUACAACACAGUAUAAAACCGAUCUGUUUUC
Molecule: long non-coding RNA, 178 nt
Organism: Neodiprion fabricii
Lineage: Eukaryota; Metazoa; Arthropoda; Insecta; Hymenoptera; Diprionidae
Exons: 4
Source: RefSeq, a predicted model, not a curated record